GUCUCCCCGGAAUUUAACGUAUGGGGAGUCGAACCUGCCCGGUGACAGAGUUGUUAAACGGCCGCGGUACCCUAACCGUGCAAAGGUAGCAUAAUCACUUGCCUUUUAAUUGGAGGCUGGUAUGAAUGGUUUGACGAGAGCUAUGCUGUCUCUUUGGAAAUAUUUAAAAAUUAACUUCUAGGUGAAGAGGCCUAGAUAGGUUUAAGGGACAAGAAGACCCUGUUGAGCUUUAAUGAAAUUAUUAAUAUUAUUAUUGUUAAAAGGUUGUAUUUAUAUAAAUUUUGUUGGUAGUGAAUUUUUAGUUGGGGCGACUGAGGAAUAAGAAAAGCUUCCUUGUGAAAAAGUAUAAGAGUUUAUUAACUUGUGGGUAGUAGUGCAUGCAUGUUAAUUUGAUCCGGAGUAUUUCGAUCAAAGGAAAGAGUUACCACAGGGAUAACAGCGUAAUCUUUCUGGAGAGAUCUUAUCGAAAGAAGGGUUUGCGACCUCGAUGUUGGACUAAGAUAUCCCAAGGGUGUAGAAGUUCUUGUUGGUUGGUCUGUUCGACCAUUAAAAUCUU
This 556-nucleotide ribosomal RNA is filed under the name Jujubinus suarezensis. RNAcentral's name for it is "partial 16S ribosomal RNA". It matches the Rfam family "Bacterial large subunit ribosomal RNA", at positions 1819 to 2597 of the family's 2925-position model. The record is from RNAcentral. Lineage: Eukaryota; Metazoa; Mollusca; Gastropoda; Trochida; Trochidae.